GCUUGCUUUCUUUGCUGGCGACCGGCGCACGGGUGAGUAACACGUAUCCAACCUACCCUUUACUCGUGGAUAGCCUUUCGAAAGAAAGAUUAAUACCCGAUAGCAUAAUGAUUCCGCAUGGUUUCAUUAUUAAAGGAUUCCGGUAAAGGAUGGGGAUGCGUUCCAUUAGGUUGUUGGUGGGGUAACGGCCCACCAAGCCUUCGAUGGAUAGGGGUUCGGAGAGGAAGGUCCCCCACAUUGGAACUGAGACACGGUCCAAACUCCUACGGGAGGCAGCAUG
RNAcentral lists this ribosomal RNA (280 nucleotides) under uncultured bacterium. RNAcentral describes it as "partial 16S ribosomal RNA". It matches the Rfam family "Bacterial small subunit ribosomal RNA", at positions 78 to 353 of the family's 1533-position model. The record is from RNAcentral.